CCAAUAGCGUAUAUUAAAGUUGUUGCAGUUAAAAAGCUCGUAGUUGAAUUUCGGGGCCAGUAGGUUGGUCGUGCCACUGGUAUGCACUGGCCUCACUGGUCCCUCCUUCUUGUAGAACCGUGAUGGCAUUAAUUUGUUGUUGCGGGGAAACAGGACUGUUACUUUGAAAAAAUUAGAGUGCUUAAAGCAGGCUCGCGCUUGAAUACCUUAGCAUGGAAUAACGAAAUAGGACGAUCGAACCUAUUUUGUUGGUUUCUAGGAUCGACGUAAUGAUUAAUAGGGAUAGUUGGGGGCAUUAGUAUUCAAUUGUCAGAGGUGAAAUUCUUGGAUUUAUUGAAGACUAACUACUGCGAAAGCAUUUGCCAAGGAUGUUUUCAUUAAUCAAGAACGAAAGUUAGGGGAUCGAAGACGAUCAGAUACCGUCGUAGUCUUAACCAUAAACUAUGCCGACUAGGGAUCGGAUGAAGUUAAUUUUUUAAUGACUCAUUCGGCGCCUUACG
This 500-nucleotide ribosomal RNA is filed under the name uncultured Glomeromycotina. RNAcentral's name for it is "partial small subunit ribosomal RNA". It matches the Rfam family "Eukaryotic small subunit ribosomal RNA", at positions 591 to 1092 of the family's 1831-position model. Lineage: Eukaryota; Fungi; Glomeromycota. The record is from RNAcentral.